This 253-nucleotide ribosomal RNA is filed under the name uncultured bacterium. Its description in RNAcentral is "partial 16S ribosomal RNA". It matches the Rfam family "Bacterial small subunit ribosomal RNA", at positions 524 to 776 of the family's 1533-position model. The record is from RNAcentral.
UACGGGGGGGGCAAGCGUUGUUCGGAAUUACUGGGCGUAAAGGGCUCGUAGGUGGCCAACUAAGUCAGACGUGAAAUCCCUCGGCUUAACCGGGGAACUGCGUCUGAUACUGGACGGCUUGAGUUUGGGAGAGGGACGCGGAAUUCCAGGUGUAGCGGUGAAAUGCGUAGAUAUCUGGAGGAACACCGGUGGCGAAGGCGGCGUUCUGGACUGCAACUGACACUGAGGAACGAAAGCCAGGGGAGCAAACGGG